Molecule: long non-coding RNA, 3551 nt
Filed under: Capsicum annuum
Lineage: Eukaryota; Viridiplantae; Streptophyta; Magnoliopsida; Solanales; Solanaceae
Description: long non-coding RNA (CANN_LNC001055)
Source: RNAcentral
GGUGUCUUAUUUCCGUUAUUCCAUCUUGUUUCAUGCUUUAUUAUGAAUUUGUUUAUUAUUCUGUCUUGAGCCGAGAGUCUAUCGGAAACAGCCUUUCUACUUCUCCGGAGGUAGUGGUAUGGACUGCGUACAUUUUAUCCUCCCCAGACCCCAUUGUGUGGGAAUACACCGGGUUUUUUGUUGUUGUAAUAUAUAUUAUUACAAAUAAAUAAGUAAAGAAUAAUAUAAAAUUCUAUUGUAUAAUUGUUUUUAAAAAAAAACAAACAGAAGAAAGUGGAGGUUUAAAUGUUCUCCAAUUAACAUGAUUACUACUUCUACUGUAAUUCUGUAAAUAUAUCCAUAUAAAAACAUUUUAAAAGUAAAUUGAUAGGGGUACAUGUGUAAUUUUAUUUAUUAUUUUGAUCCAUGUAUAACUUAUUCCAUCUCCUACUCCCCCUAAGUUAUGUGAGUAUUAAUUUUGUAGGAUUAUUAAAACACAACCAAAUAUCGUAUAGAAUUAAUACAUGAAUAGCUUUUAUACAACAUUUGGAACUUACCAACCAAACAUUGCAUAAAAUUAAUACAUAAAUAAUUUUUAUCCUAUUUACAAACCAAACAAUGUAUAAAAUUAAUUGGUUAUUCAUGUAUUAAUUUGGGCCUUAUCCAGUCACCAAACGACCCUUAUUUCUCAAAAAUCCGUUUCUGUGAAAGGAUUUGGCUCAGGACCAUCUUCUAGCAUUUCUAGUUUCUGGUGUUUAUCGGCUUGCCUAGAACACUGAGAUUGGGAUUUCAGCAUUUUCAUGAUAAGUCUUGAACUGACUUCUGCUUGGGAUGUGAUGAUUGUGAGAACUGAGAACACUACUGACUAAUCAUACUGCCCCCUUCCUUUGGACUCUUUAAUUUAGAAUCAAUGGCACCACAAACUAAAUCGAGCUGACAAUAAGAGAUGGAAUAAUGUCUCAACUGUGAGUGACUCCAUGGUACAGCUUGAUCAUUCUUUGCAGGAUCUUCUAAGUGGUGGAAAGUUAGUGGUUAUGAUCAAUGUGUUGCCAGCUCCUUUAAAGUUGUCAAUAUGCGUUCGAAGUACGGUAGCUGGACAAGCUCCUUUAAAUUUCUUUAUCAUAUAUGAGAUCAAGACAUGAAUUCGUGGCAUUUGAUAAUAAAUGGUCUAAGUUGCGCAGGCUCUUCACUUUUGAUGCCGCACCCGUGUUGGAUUCUACAAAAUUACACCGCUUUUGGAGGAUCCAACACACACCCAUUGACAUUUUGAAGAGUCCGAGCAACAUAGUAAAUGGUAAUGCAUAGAAUGGAUUGGGGGUCAACGGUUUGGAUUUGUAUGGUGAGAUGAGGGAGCUGCAUUUGAACCCAACCAAGGAAAUAUUUCUUGAAGAUCUUGGGUUUGUGCCUUUCAUGAAAUUGCACAGCUAUAUGAGCUUGAGUGGUCUGACUAUUCAUUUGUUUCUUUGUGGUGUCACUAGAGCUUUUUUCAAGAACCUGACCAAACAGUCUCUGCAUAUCCAUUGACUGGCAAUUCAAUGCCAGAAAUAUCUUUGAGCAUGCCCUUGCCCUUAUUGAUGAUGGUUUGAACGUUGCAGAAGCUAGCAGUAUAUGGGAGUCUUACAGGGGAUUUAAACCAACUAUUCUGUUUGCUGCUGAAACUAAUGCUGAGCAAAGGAAAAGAAAAGGACCGUCAAGUUUAGAGUUAAUUCUCUCAUCAGUUUUUGGCCUCUCUUGUUGAUCCAAAAUGCAAGGCUCUUAUGGUGUCACUUAAGGCACACAUGGAGAAGAUCGAACCAAUAGAUCUCAUGGUUUCAAGGGGUGUGAUAUUAACAGUGGAGAAUCGAGAAAGAGGAGAAUCCGAUAAAGAGGAGAAUCGCCUAUGUUAGUUGCUGUUUUAUGUGUUAAAGUGAACGCGUAGUGUAGAUCAUCUGCUUUUGCAUUGUAGGGUGGCUAUUCGGUUAUGGAGGGUGGCCCUAAAUUUGUUUGAGAUGCAAUGGUUCAUGCCGGGUACAUUGAAUGAGGCCUUGAUAAGAGGGCUUUUGAAAGAGUGGAACUUGAUUUUGUAAAAUCAAAGAGUUAGUGUUGUCUCUAGUUUCUUUAAGGUGUACUUGCGAGGUUCCAAUUUAUAUAGAGGAUUGGAUCUCUUUUGUUGAGAGCCAUAUUUUGGUGUAGGUUCUCUUCUUUUGGUAUGUGGCUUGUACCCCCUCCCCUCACCACGCGCGCACACAAAAAAAAAAAGCUUCGUGCACUAAAGCUAUGCACGGGGUCCGAGGAAGCGCUAGACCGGAAUAGUCUAUUGUACGCAACCUCACCUUACAUAUCCCUAGGCUUGAACCCACGACUUCCUGAUCACAUGACAACAACUUUAUCAAUUACACUAAGAUUUUCCCCAAACGUUGAUAAAAUUAUUUACCUUAUCAACAAUGGUUUCAAGUGUGCGUAAUGCUUGCAGAGAGAUGAAAGUGUUUGAUCCGAAAAGGUCUGUCCAUGACCUCACGCUAAAGGCUAGUGUUAGAGGGUAACAAGACUGUUAUAAAUGCACUUGUUGAUAUGUACAGGAAAGUUGGAAACGUGAGCGAUUGUGAGAGCACAUUUCGUGAUCUAGAGAGCAAAAGGAUCAUAUGGAAUGUAGCAACCGGUAGUGCAUGUGAGAAUUAAAAUAUACAGGGGAGGCCUAUCAGAGGUUAUUCCGACCUGAACCAAAGGAAAACGGGUCUGUCAAAUUUACUCCUCUACUUUCAAAAAUUGGCUAACUUUAUCCUUUGUCAUACUAUGGGGUCAUAUUUGACCUCGGCCGUUAGUAAAGUUUUCACUUAUACCCCUCAUUGGAUGGAAAUGGCCAUAUCAACAAAAAUAACCCAUUGUUGAAAAAAAGAAACAUAACCACUAACUUACCUUUAUUUAGGGUGUGCAUAGUCGGUUCGAUUUUAUAUAUUAUUGGUUUGAUUAUUCCAAUUUUUUUAAAUAUGCUAAACUUAUAACUAAACCAAUUAGUUAUUUUUUAUUGGUUUUCAGUUUAUCGAUUUUUAAUCCUUAACGGUUCGAUUUUCGGUUUAACCGAUAAAAAAAUACUCAUAAAAUAGAAAUCAUAUCAACUAACAUGAAAAAAAAACUAAAUCUUAGUUGCAGUCAAAAUCCUACAUGAUGUGUUUUUAUUUAUACGAAAAAGGGCCUAAAAUGCCCUUCAAUUAUGUAAAUGGUGCAAAAAUGCCCUCCGUCUACCUAUUGGGCCUAAAAUGCUCUUUUCGUCUACCUAUUGGGUCUAAAAUGCCCUUCUCACCUAUCCAUUGGGCCUAAAAUGCCCUUCACGCCUACCUAUUUGGCCUAUUUUGCCCUUUUAUUUAGGCAAAUUACAUGAAAAGACCAUUCUUAAAACAUAAUUUUAUAAAUAAUAAUACUUUUUCAAUAUUACAAAAAUAAAAGUUUUUUUUUUUUUUUACAUAUAUAGCCAUUUAAAGAAAUCAGAAAAGAUAAUUAUAAUUUCUAAUUUAAUGCUUUAACUAAUUAUCAAUUCACCUUAAUUUAAGAGAUAUAUUUUCAAUCUUUAAAUUAAAAGUGGAAAAGAUAAUCAC